UCCCCGUUAACCGGGGCAGUCACCUUAGAGUGCCCAACUAAAUGCUGGCAACUAAGAUCAAGGGUUGCGCUCGUUGCGGGACUUAACCCAACAUCUCACGACACGAGCUGACGACAACCAUGCACCACCUGUCACUUUGUCCCCCGAAGGGGAAAGCCCUAUCUCUAGGGUGGUCAAAGGAUGUCAAGACCUGGUAAGGUUCUUCGCGUUGCUUCGAAUUAAACCACAUGCUCCACCGCUUGUGCGGGCCCCCGUCAAUUCCUUUGAGUUUCAGCCUUGCGGCCGUACUCCCCAGGCGGAGUGCUUAAUGUGUUAACUUCGGCACUAAGGGCAUCGAAACCCCUAACACCUAGCACUCAUCGUUUACGGCGUGGACUAC
Molecule: unclassified non-coding RNA, 379 nt
Filed under: Bacillus sp. (in: firmicutes)
Lineage: Bacteria; Bacillati; Bacillota; Bacilli; Caryophanales; Bacillaceae
Description: Bacillus sp. (in: Bacteria) contains 16S-23S intergenic spacer region
Source: RNAcentral